RNAcentral lists this ribosomal RNA (430 nucleotides) under uncultured bacterium. Its description in RNAcentral is "bacterial SSU rRNA". It matches the Rfam family "Bacterial small subunit ribosomal RNA", at positions 354 to 796 of the family's 1533-position model. The record is from RNAcentral.
GUGGGGAAUAUUGGACAAUGGGCGAAAGCCUGAUCCAGCAACGCCGCGUGAGGGAUGACGGCCUUCGGGUUGUAAACCUCUUUCAGCAGGGACGAAGCGAAAGUGACGGUACCUGCAGAAGAAGCACCGGCCAACUACGUGCCAGCAGCCGCGGUAAUACGUAGGGUGCAAGCGUUGUCCGGAAUUAUUGGGCGUAAAGGGCUCGUAGGCGGUCCAUCGCGUCGGGAGUGAAAAGCUGGGGCUCAACCCCAGUCCUGCUUCCGAUACGGGUGGACUAGAGGUAUGCAGGGGAGAACGGAAUUCCUGGUGUAGCGGUGAAAUGCGCAGAUAUCAGGAGGAACACCGGUGGCGAAGGCGGUUCUCUGGGCAUUACCUGACGCUGAGGAGCGAAAGCGUGGGGAGCAAACAGGAUUAGAUACCCGAGUAGUCC